UUUUCUGUGUAACCUUACUUUUUAAAUCCUGCAAAUUGACCUUUUUCUGUCUAAGUUUAGUUGUCUGU
Long non-coding RNA from Etheostoma cragini (Arkansas darter), 68 nucleotides. RefSeq lists it as uncharacterized. Lineage: Eukaryota; Metazoa; Chordata; Actinopteri; Perciformes; Percidae. The record is from RefSeq and is a predicted model, not a curated record. The transcript is spliced from 3 exons.